Molecule: ribosomal RNA, 433 nt
Filed under: uncultured bacterium
Lineage: Bacteria
Description: partial 16S ribosomal RNA
Rfam family: Bacterial small subunit ribosomal RNA
Source: RNAcentral
AACGAACGCUGGCGGCAUGCCUAACACAUGCCAGUCGAACGAGACCUUCGGGUCUAGUGGCGCACGGGUGCGUAACGCGUGGGAACCUGCCCUUAGGUUCGGAAUAACUCCCCGAAAGGGGUGCUAAUACCGGAUAAUGUCUUCGGACCAAUGAUUUAUCGCCUUUGGAUGGGCCCGCGUUGGAUUAGCUAGUUGGUAGGGUAAAAGCCUACCAAGGCGACGAUCCAUAGCUGGUCUGAGAGGAUGAUCAGCCACACUGGGACUGAGACACGGCCCAGACUCCUACGGGAGGCAGCAGUGGGGAAUAUUGGACAAUGGGCGAAAGCCUGAUCCAGCAAUGCCGCGUGAGUGAUGAAGGCCUUAGGGUUGUAAAGCUCUUUUACCCGGGAUGAUAAUGACAGUACCGGGAGAAUAAGCGCCGGCUAACUCCGUG